Non-coding RNA from Cinara cedri, 721 nucleotides. NCBI's taxonomy places the organism in Eukaryota, Metazoa, Arthropoda, Insecta, Hemiptera, Aphididae. The record is from the annotation of a GenBank genome assembly.
AAAAUAUAUUUACCGCCAUUAUAAAAAUAAUAAAAGUUUUCAAAUUGUAUCAACAAAUCUCACUCUCUUAUAAUAUUAUUUAAGUAAUUAAUUUUGUCAGUUUGGUAAAGAUUUUUUAAUGUGAAAUACAGGAUCUAUUAAUUGAGUAAAAGGAGUUGCACUAAUAAUGUAUAAAGGAAUUGAAAUAAUUUAAUUUUUGGAAAUUAAUUAUAUGUUAUUUACCUAUUAUUUAUAUAGAUGUAAUUUUAAAAUGAAUUUAAGUUAGGGGCAACAACAUGAACAUCCUGGUUUUCCAUUACAUAGAGUUCGUUUUUCAGGGUUACUUAAACACUGACGAGGGUCGGGUAAUUCUGUACUUGGAAAACAAUCCUGGCCACAACGGACGUCGGCAUUUGUAGAAAAUACAUACAGUAAUAUAAAAUAACAUAGGGAACUAAUUAAAAACAUCAACUUCAUUAUAAUACGUGACGAAAACUGUUACCAAAUCGGUAUAUUUAGUUGCUUGAAUCAAUUCCGAUGGAAUGGAACGGUUGUUGUUGAAAUCUGGCGUUGUUCAAUAGAGAAAAGGUGAAGACGAUAAUCGAUUUUUAAGGUGACGAAUUGAUACCUUCAAUCUGUAAAACCGAUUUAGUAUAAUUAUAACGUAAUAGUAAAUAGUAAAUUUAACGCAGAUUACAAACUUUUGUGUCACAACAAAAAAAAUAAACCAUCGAAUAUACCU